Molecule: ribosomal RNA, 440 nt
Filed under: uncultured bacterium
Lineage: Bacteria
Description: partial 16S ribosomal RNA
Rfam family: Bacterial small subunit ribosomal RNA
Source: RNAcentral
CCUACGGGAGGCAGCAGUGAGGGAUAUUGCACAAUGGGGGGAACCCUGAUGCAGCGACGCCGCGUGUGGGAAGACGGUCCUCUGGAUUGUAAACCACUGUCCCCAGGGACGAAAAUGACGGUAUCUGGGGAGGAAGCUCCGGCUAAACACGUGCCAGAAGCCGCGGUAAUACGUGGGGAGCGAGCGGUGUACGGAAUUACUGGGUGUAACGGGAGCGUAGGCGGGGGUGCAAGUUGGGUGUAAAAACUACCGGCUAAACUGGGCGUCGCACUCAAUACUGGAGCGCUUGAGUGAAGUAGAGGCAGGCGGAAUUCCUAGUGUAGCGGUGAAAUGCGGAGAUAUUAGGAGGAACACCAGGGGCGAAGGCGGGCUGCUGGGCUUUUACUGACGCUGAGGCUCGAAAGUGUGGGGAGCAAAAAGGAUUAGAUACCCGGGUAGUC